RNAcentral lists this small RNA (16 nucleotides) under Arabidopsis thaliana (thale cress). RNAcentral's name for it is "ATSL302000". The record is from RNAcentral. Lineage: Eukaryota; Viridiplantae; Streptophyta; Magnoliopsida; Brassicales; Brassicaceae.
AAAAAAGAAGCAAAAU